CGAAAACCUUACCCACCUUUGACAUGGCAGGAACUUACCAGAGAUGGUUUGGUGCUCGAAAGAGAACCUGCACACAGGUGCUGCAUGGCUGUCGUCAGCUCGUGUCGUGAGAUGUUGGGUUAAGUCCCGCAACGAGCGCAACCCUUGCCAUUAGUUGCUACGAAAGGGCACUCUAAUGGGACUGCCGGUGACAAACCGGAGGAAGGUGGGGAUGACGUCAAGUCCUCAUGGCCCUUAUAGGUGGGGCUACACACGUCAUACAAUGGCUGGUACAAAGGGUCGCCAACCCGCGAGGGGGAGCCAAUCCCAUAAAGCCAGUCGUAGUCCGGAUCGCAGUCUGCAACUCGACUGCGUGAAGUCGGAAUCGCUAGUAAUCGUGGAUCAGAAUGUCACGGUGAAUACGUUCCCGGGUCUUGUACACACCGCCCGUCACACCAUGGGAGCGGGUCUCGCCAGAAGUAGGUAGCCUAACCGCAAGGAGGGCGCUUACCACGGCGGGGUUCGUGACUGGGGUGAAGUCGUAACAAGGUAAGCGUAGUGCU
RNAcentral lists this ribosomal RNA (542 nucleotides) under uncultured bacterium. Its description in RNAcentral is "bacterial SSU rRNA". It matches the Rfam family "Bacterial small subunit ribosomal RNA", at positions 963 to 1509 of the family's 1533-position model. The record is from RNAcentral.